CCCAGGCACACCCGACACACCCCGUGCGCACACCUAUAGAAGUGAGGAAUGGGGGAGACAGCCUACAUGAAGAGUCAGCAAGGAGCAGGAAGGUAAGGUAAGAAAAGGAGAAGGAACAGAAAUUAGCAGGAAGGGACAUCAAGGAGCAGAAAGGGGCAGCAAGGAGCUGGAAGGGACAGCAAGGAGCACAAAAGGUAAAAUAGGAGAAGGAGCACAAAGGAACAGAAAUGAACAGGAAGGGGCAGCAAGGAUCUGGAAGGUAAAGCAGCACAAAGGUAAAGUAGAAGGAGCAGAAAGG
Non-coding RNA from Pelobates cultripes (western spadefoot toad), 298 nucleotides. The record is from the annotation of a GenBank genome assembly. Lineage: Eukaryota; Metazoa; Chordata; Amphibia; Anura; Pelobatidae.